RNAcentral lists this small RNA (4767 nucleotides) under Pan troglodytes (chimpanzee). RNAcentral describes it as "processed transcript". The record is from RNAcentral. Lineage: Eukaryota; Metazoa; Chordata; Mammalia; Primates; Hominidae.
UCACUUCUCUCCCAACGCGUUCCCCUGGUUCACCCCCCUUCCUUCCCCUUUCUCCCCCUCUGUUAAGUCCCUCCCCCUCGCCAUUCAAAAGGGCUGGCUCGGCACUGGCUCCUUGCAGUCGGCGAACUGUCGGGGCGGGAGGAGCCGUGAGCAGUAGCUGCACUCAGCUGCCCGCGCGGCAAAGAGGGAGGCAAGCCAAACAGAGUGCGCAGAGUGGCAGUGCCAGCGGCGACACAGGCAGCACAGGCAGCCCGGGCUGCCUGAAUAGCCUCAGAAACAACCUCAACGACUCCGGCUGCUCUGCGGACUGCGAGCUGUGGCGGUAGAGCCCGCUACAGCAGUCGCAGUCUCCGUGGAGCGGGCGGAAGCCUUUUUUCUCCCUUUCGUUUACCUCUUCAUUCUACUCUAAAGGCAUCGUUAUUAGGAAAAUCCUGUUGUGAAUAAGAAGGAUUCCACAGAUCACAUACCAGAGAGGUUUUGCCUCAGCUGCUCUCAACUUUGUAAUCUUGUGAAGAAGCUGACAAGCUUGGCUGAUUGCAGAGCACUAUGAGGACUGAACGACAGUGGGUUUUAAUUCAGAUAUUUCAAGUGUUGUGCGGGUUAAUACAACAAACUGUAACAAGUGUACCUGGUAUGGACUUGUUGUCCGGGACGUACAUUUUCGCGGUCCUGCUAGCAUGCGUGGUGUUCCACUCUGGCGCCCAGGAGAAAAACUACACCAUCCGAGAAGAAAUGCCAGAAAACGUCCUGAUAGGCGACUUGUUGAAAGACCUUAACUUGUCGCUGAUUCCAAACAAGUCCUUGACAACUGCUAUGCAGUUCAAGCUAGUGUACAAGACCGGAGAUGUGCCACUGAUUCGAAUUGAAGAGGAUACUGGUGAGAUCUUCACUACUGGCGCUCGCAUUGAUCGUGAGAAAUUAUGUGCUGGUAUCCCAAGGGAUGAGCAUUGCUUUUAUGAAGUGGAGGUUGCCAUUUUGCCGGAUGAAAUAUUUAGACUGGUUAAGAUACGUUUUCUGAUAGAAGAUAUAAAUGAUAAUGCACCAUUGUUCCCAGCAACAGUUAUCAACAUAUCAAUUCCAGAGAACUCGGCUAUAAACUCUAAAUAUACUCUCCCAGCGGCUGUUGAUCCUGACGUAGGAACAAACGGAGUUCAAAACUACGAACUAAUUAAGAGUCAAAACAUUUUUGGCCUCGAUGUCAUUGAAACACCAGAAGGAGACAAGAUGCCACAACUGAUUGUUCAAAAGGAGUUAGAUAGGGAAGAGAAGGAUACCUACGUGAUGAAAGUAAAGGUUGAAGAUGGUGGCUUUCCUCAAAGAUCCAGUACUGCUAUUUUGCAAGUAAGUGUUACUGAUACAAAUGACAACCACCCAGUCUUUAAGGAGACAGAGAUUGAAGUCAGUAUACCAGAAAAUGCUCCUGUAGGCACUUCAGUGACACAGCUCCAUGCCACAGAUGCUGACAUAGGUGAAAAUGCCAAGAUCCACUUCUCUUUCAGCAAUCUAGUCUCCAACAUUGCCAGGAGAUUAUUUCACCUCAAUGCCACCACUGGACUUAUCACAAUCAAAGAACCACUGGAUAGGGAAGAAACACCAAACCACAAGUUACUGGUUUUGGCAAGUGAUGGUGGAUUGAUGCCAGCAAGAGCAAUGGUGCUGGUAAAUGUUACAGAUGUUAAUGAUAAUGUCCCAUCCAUUGACAUAAGAUACAUCGUCAAUCCUGUCAAUGACACAGUUGUUCUUUCAGAAAAUAUUCCACUCAACACCAAAAUUGCUCUCAUAACUGUGACGGAUAAGGAUGCGGACCAUAAUGGCAGGGUGACAUGCUUCACAGAUCAUGAAAUCCCUUUCAGAUUAAGGCCAGUAUUCAGUAAUCAGUUCCUCCUGGAGACUGCAGCAUAUCUUGACUAUGAGUCCACAAAAGAAUAUGCCAUUAAAUUACUGGCUGCAGAUGCUGGCAAACCUCCUUUGAAUCAGUCAGCAAUGCUCUUCAUCAAAGUGAAAGAUGAAAAUGACAAUGCUCCAGUUUUCACCCAGUCUUUCGUAACUGUUUCUAUUCCUGAGAAUAACUCUCCUGGCAUCCAGUUGACGAAAGUAAGUGCAACGGAUGCAGACAGUGGGCCUAAUGCUGAGAUCAAUUACCUGCUAGGCCCUGAUGCUCCACCUGAAUUCAGCCUGGAUCGUCGUACAGGCAUGCUGACUGUAGUGAAGAAACUAGAUAGAGAAAAAGAGGAUAAAUAUUUAUUCACAAUUCUGGCAAAAGAUAACGGGGUACCACCCUUAACCAGCAAUGUCACAGUCUUUGUAAGCAUUAUUGAUCAGAAUGACAAUAGCCCAGUUUUCACUCACAAUGAAUACAACUUCUAUGUCCCAGAAAACCUUCCAAGGCAUGGUACAGUAGGACUAAUCACUGUAACUGAUCCUGAUUAUGGAGACAAUUCUGCAGUUACGCUCUCCAUUUUAGAUGAGAAUGAUGACUUCACCAUUGAUUCACAAACUGGUGUCAUCCGACCAAAUAUUUCAUUUGAUAGAGAAAAACAAGAAUCUUACACUUUCUAUGUAAAGGCUGAGGAUGGUGGUAGAGUAUCACGUUCUUCAAGUGCCAAAGUAACCAUAAAUGUGGUUGAUGUCAAUGACAACAAACCAGUUUUCAUUGUCCCUCCUUCCAACUAUUCUUAUGAAUUGGUUCUACCGUCCACUAAUCCAGGCACAGUGGUCUUUCAGGUAAUGGCUGUUGACAAUGACACUGGCAUGAAUGCAGAGGUUCGUUACAGCAUUGUAGGAGGAAACACAAGAGAUCUGUUUGCAAUCGACCAAGAAACAGGCAACAUAACAUUGAUGGAGAAAUGUGAUGUUACAGACCUUGGUUUACACAGAGUGUUGGUCAAAGCUAAUGACUUAGGACAGCCUGAUUCUCUCUUCAGUGUUGUAAUUGUCAAUCUGUUCGUGAAUGAGUCGGUGACCAAUGCUACACUGAUUAAUGAACUGGUGCGCAAAAGCACUGAAGCACCAGUGACCCCAAAUACUGAGAUAGCUGAUGUAUCCUCACCAACUAGUGACUAUGUCAAGAUCCUGGUUGCAGCUGUUGCUGGCACCAUAACUGUCGUUGUAGUUAUUUUCAUCACUGCUGUAGUAAGAUGUCGCCAGGCACCACACCUUAAGGCUGCUCAGAAAAACAAGCAGAAUUCUGAAUGGGCUACCCCAAACCCAGAAAACAGGCAGAUGAUAAUGAUGAAGAAAAGGAAAAAGAAGAAGAAGCAUUCCCCUAAGAACCUGCUGCUUAAUUUUGUCACUAUUGAAGAAACUAAGGCAGAUGAUGUUGACAGUGAUGGAAACAGAGUCACACUAGACCUUCCUAUUGAUCUAGAAGAGCAAACAAUGGGAAAGUACAAUUGGGUAACUACACCUACUACUUUCAAGCCCGACAGCCCUGAUUUGGCCCGACACUACAAAUCUGCCUCUCCACAGCCUGCCUUCCAAAUUCAGCCUGAAACUCCCCUGAAUUCGAAGCACCACAUCAUCCAAGAACUGCCUCUCGAUAACACCUUUGUGGCCUGUGACUCUAUCUCCAAGUGUUCCUCAAGCAGUUCAGAUCCCUACAGCGUUUCUGACUGUGGCUAUCCAGUGACGACCUUCGAGGUACCUGUGUCCGUACACACCAGACCGACUGAUUCCAGGACAUCAACUAUUGAAAUCUGCAGUGAGAUAUAACUUUCUAGGAACAACAAAAUUCCAUUCCCCUUCCAAAAAAUUUCAAUGAUUGUGAUUUCAAAAUUAGGCUAAGAUCAUUAAUUUUGUAAUCUAGAUUUCCCAUUAUAAAAGCAAGCAAAAAUCAUCUUAAAAAUGAUGUCCUAGUGAACCUUGUGCUUUCUUUAGCUGUAAUCUGGCAAUGGAAAUUUAAAAUUUAUGGAAGAGACAGUGCAGCGCAAUAACAGAGUACUCUCAUGCUGUUUCUCUGUUUGCUCUGAAUCAACAGCCAUGAUGUAAUAUAAGGCUGUCUUGGUGUAUACACUUAUGGUUAAUAUAUCAGUCAUGAAACAUGCAAUUACUUGCCCUGUCUGAUUGUUGAAUAAUUAAAACAUUAUCUCCAGGAGUUUGGAAGUGAGCUGAACUAGCCAAACUACUCUCUGAAAGGUAUCCAGGGCAAGAGACAUUUUUAAGACCCCAAACAAACAAAAAACAAAACCAAAACACUCUGGUUCAGUGUUUUGAAAAUAUUCACUAACAUAAUAUUGCUGAGAAAAUCAUUUUUAUUACCCACCACUCUGCUUAAAAGUUGAGUGGGCCGGGCGCGGUGGCUCACGCCUGUAAUCCCAGCACUUUGGGAGGCCGAGGCGGGUGGAUCACGAGGUCAGGAGAUUGAGACCAUCCUGGCUAACACGGUGAAACACCAUCUCCACUAAAAAUACAAAAAAUUAGCCUGGCGUGGUGGCGGGCGCCUGUAGUCCCAGCUACUCGGGAGGCUGAGGCAGGAGAAUAGCGUGAACCCGGGAGGCGGAGCUUGCAGUGAGCCGAGAUGGCGCCACUGCACUCCAGCCUGGGUGACAGAGCAAGACUCUGUCUCAAAAAGAAAAAAAUGUUCAAUGAUAGAAAAUAAUUUUACUAGGUUUUUAUGUUGAUUGUACUCAUGCUGUUCCACUCCUUUUAAUUAUUAAAAAGUUAUUUUCGGCUGGGUGUGGUGGCUCACACCUGUAAUCCCAGCACUUUGGGAGGCCGAGGCGGGUGGAUCACCUGAGGUCAGGAGUUCAAGACCAGUCUGGCCAACAU